AGCAGCCGCGGUAAUUCCAGCUCCAAUAGCGUAUAUUAAAGUUGCUGCAGUUAAAAAGCUCGUAGUUGAAUUUCGGGACCAUCAUGUCGGUCGUGCCUCGGUACGUACUGGCAUUGUUGGUUUCUCCCUUCUGACGAAGCAUGAUGCCAUUAAUUUGGUGUCGUGGGGAAUCAGGACUGUUACUUUGAAAAAAUUAGAGUGUUUAAAGCAAGCAUUAGCUUGAAUACAUUAGCAUGGAAUAAUGAAAUAGGACGUUUGAUCCUAUUUCGUUGGUUUCUAGGAUCGACGUAAUGAUUAAUAGGGAUAGUUGGGGGCAUUAGUAUUCAAUUGUCAGAGGUGAAAUUCUUGGAUUUAUUGAAGACUAACUACUGCGAAAGCAUUUGCCAAGGAUGUUUUCAUUAAUCAAGAACGAAAGUUAGGGGAUCGAAGACGAUCAGAUACCGUCGUAGUCUUAACCAUAAACUAUGCCGACUAGGGAUCGGAUGAUGUUAAUUUUUUAAUGACUCAUUCGGCGCCUUACG
RNAcentral lists this ribosomal RNA (521 nucleotides) under uncultured Glomeraceae. RNAcentral's name for it is "SSU rRNA". It matches the Rfam family "Eukaryotic small subunit ribosomal RNA", at positions 569 to 1092 of the family's 1831-position model. The record is from RNAcentral. Lineage: Eukaryota; Fungi; Glomeromycota; Glomeromycetes; Glomerales; Glomeraceae.